This 155-nucleotide ribosomal RNA is filed under the name uncultured Pseudomonas sp. Its description in RNAcentral is "partial 16S ribosomal RNA". It matches the Rfam family "Bacterial small subunit ribosomal RNA", at positions 360 to 507 of the family's 1533-position model. Lineage: Bacteria; Pseudomonadati; Pseudomonadota; Gammaproteobacteria; Pseudomonadales; Pseudomonadaceae. The record is from RNAcentral.
AAUAUUGGACAAUGGGGGCAACCCUGAUCCAGCUAUGCCGCGUGUGUGAAGAAGGCCUUAGGGUUGUAAAGCACUUUCAGCGAGGAAGAACGCCUGGCGGUUAAUACCCGCCAGGAAAGACAUCACUCGCAGAAGAAGCACCGGCUAACUCCGUG